Molecule: ribosomal RNA, 497 nt
Filed under: uncultured bacterium
Lineage: Bacteria
Description: partial 16S ribosomal RNA
Rfam family: Bacterial small subunit ribosomal RNA
Source: RNAcentral
GACGAACGCUGGCGGCGUGCCUAAUACAUGCAAGUCGAGCGAACAGAUGAGGAGCUUGCUCCUCUGACGUUAGCGGCGGACGGGUGAGUAACACGUGGAUAACCUACCUAUAAGACUGGGAUAACUUCGGGAAACCGGAGCUAAUACCGGAUAAUAUAUUGAACCGCAUGGUUCAAUAGUGAAAGACGGUUUUGCUGUCACUUAUAGAUGGAUCCGCGCCGCAUUAGCUAGUUGGUAAGGUAACGGCUUACCAAGGCAACGAUGCGUAGCCGACCUGAGAGGGUGAUCGGCCACACUGGAACUGAGACACGGUCCAGACUCCUACGGGAGGCAGCAGUAGGGAAUCUUCCGCAAUGGGCGAAAGCCUGACGGAGCAACGCCGCGUGAGUGAUGAAGGUCUUCGGAUCGUAAAACUCUGUUAUUAGGGAAGAACAAAUGUGUAAGUAACUAUGCACGUCUUGACGGUACCUAAUCAGAAAGCCACGGCUAAUUACGUG